RNAcentral lists this non-coding RNA (20 nucleotides) under Arabidopsis thaliana (thale cress). The record is from RNAcentral. Lineage: Eukaryota; Viridiplantae; Streptophyta; Magnoliopsida; Brassicales; Brassicaceae.
UGGCCACCCAUUGCACUAGU